Molecule: long non-coding RNA, 665 nt
Filed under: Mytilus galloprovincialis (Mediterranean mussel)
Lineage: Eukaryota; Metazoa; Mollusca; Bivalvia; Mytilida; Mytilidae
Source: RNAcentral
UUAAGGUAGCUUUUUAUUGUAUUAAAGUAUUUGUUUAAAUUAAUAAUCUAACCAUUUAUAUAAGAAAAUGACAACGAUAGACAACACUGCAUAUUAUAAUAAUUGUUUACAAAAUUCUACAUUAUUUAUCAAAUGGAUUUCUAGGAAAACUCAUAUUUUGCCUAUACGUAACAUAUCUCAAAACUGGACAUUGAAUAAUCAUUUAAGAAUUAUCUUAUUUUAUCCAAAGUAUUCUUUCAAUUUAAAGCUCCCUGAUCCAUUGACAGGUUCAGAAAUUUUCAUAAGGAGGGCUCAUUGACUGCCUAAGAGGGACACGGUCCUGUCAUGCUUUAUUGAUUCCCUAUAUAAUCAACCAAAUUUUUCCACUCAAAAGGAGGGGGACCUGGGCCCCCUGAAAAACCUUCUAAAUCUGCCUCUGUGAUCAACUUCACACAAUCCUAUAAAAUCUGCACUGAUCGUCAAUGUAUUAUGCAAACAUAAUUGAGGUACUUUUAAAAAAAAAAUCUAUAAUAGUUUUCAAGAUAAUUGGAAAACAUUGUGAAAAAAUGUCUUUAAAGGGCAAUUACUUCAAAAAUGAGUCAACUUAAUAUUUAAAAAAUGCUGCUCCAAAGAUAGAUCUUGUCUUGCCAGAGUUAAUUUAAUUUAAUGAUGAUUUUUUAUUUUUU